RNAcentral lists this ribosomal RNA (468 nucleotides) under uncultured bacterium. RNAcentral's name for it is "partial 16S ribosomal RNA". It matches the Rfam family "Bacterial small subunit ribosomal RNA", at positions 28 to 507 of the family's 1533-position model. The record is from RNAcentral.
GACGAACGCUGGCGGCGUGCUUAACACAUGCAAGUCGAACGGAAAGGCCCUGCUUUUGUGGGGUGCUCGAGUGGCGAACGGGUGAGUAACACGUGAGUAACCUGCCCUUGACUUUGGGAUAACUUCAGGAAACUGGGGCUACUACCGGAUAGGAGCUCCUGCUGCAUGGUGGGGGUUGGAAAGUUUCGGCGGUUGGGGAUGGACUCGCGGCUUAUCAGCUUGUUGGUGGGGUAGUGGCUUACCAAGGCUUUGACGGGUAGCCGGCCUGAGAGGGUGACCGGCCACAUUGGGACUGCGGGAGGCAGCAGAGUCCUACGGUGGGCAGCAGUGGGAAAUAUUGCACAAUGGGACGAAGUCUGAUGCAGCAACGCCGCGUGCGGGAUGACGGCCUUUGGGUUGUAAACCGCUUUCGCCUGUGACGAAGCGUGAGUGACGGUACUGGGUAAAGAAGCACCGGCUAACUACGUG